This 468-nucleotide ribosomal RNA is filed under the name uncultured bacterium. Its description in RNAcentral is "partial 16S ribosomal RNA". It matches the Rfam family "Bacterial small subunit ribosomal RNA", at positions 28 to 507 of the family's 1533-position model. The record is from RNAcentral.
GACGAACGCUGGCGGCGUGCUUAACACAUGCAAGUCGAACGGAAAGGCCCUGCUUUUGUGGGGUGCUCGCGUGGCGAACGGGUGAGUAACACGUGAGUCACCUGCCCUUGACUUUGUGAUAACUUCAGGCAACUGGGGCUAAUACCUGCUAGGAGCUCCUGCUGCAUGGUGGGGGUUGGAAAGUUUCGGCUGUUGGGGAUGGACUCGCGGCUUAUCAGCUUGUUGGUGGGGUAGUUGCUUACCCAGGCUUUGACGGGUAGCCUGCCUGAGAGGUUGACCGGGCACAAUGGGACUGAGAGAGGGCCCAGACGGCUACGGGAGGCAGUGGGGGGGAAUAUGGUACAAUGGGGGGAAGUCUGAUGCAGAAGCGCCGCGAGCGGGAAGAACGCCUUCGGGUGGUAAACCGCUGUCGCCUGUGACGAAGCGGGAGUGACGGUAAUGGGUAAAGAAGCACCGGCUAACUACGUG